AACGAACGCUGGCGGCAUGCCUUACACAUGCAAGUCGAACGGUAACGCGGGGCAACCUGGCGACGAGUGGCGAACGGGUGAGUAAAGCAUCGGAACGUGCCCAGUAGUGGGGGAUAGCCCGGCGAAAGCCGGAUUAAUACCGCAUACGACCUACGGGUGAAAGGGGGGGAUCGCAAGACCUCUCGCUAUUGGAGCGGCCGAUGUCAGAUUAGGUAGUUGGUGGGGUAAAGGCCUACCAAGCCGACGAUCUGUAGCUGGUCUGAGAGGACGACCAGCCACACUGGGACUGAGACACGGCCCAGACUCCUACGGGAGGCAGCAGUGGGGAAUUUUGGACAAUGGGCGCAAGCCUGAUCCAGCCAUGCCGCGUGCGGGAAGAAGGCCUUCGGUGUAACGC
This 397-nucleotide ribosomal RNA is filed under the name uncultured bacterium. Its description in RNAcentral is "bacterial SSU rRNA". It matches the Rfam family "Bacterial small subunit ribosomal RNA", at positions 29 to 431 of the family's 1533-position model. The record is from RNAcentral.